AGCAUCCGCAAAGGAGGAUUUAACAAAUCCUUAGCGCGAUAACAUAGGUUAAUUGGAUUAAAAUAUUAAUACAUAUACUCGAUUACGGAAGGAUUGAUCCUUGAACAAGGAUUAGAAGGAUCAAGUCCUUGUGUACGUGUCCGUCGGUGAUAGGUAGAGGUUUUGUUUGUGUUUGGCAACGAAGAUCAACAUCUCUCUCUCUUUCCAGGCAACGAAGAUCAACAUCCAUGGCGACUUGAAGAUGCCUCGAUACGAUGAUCGUUACAGCAGCAAUGACCGAUACGGCGGCGCACGUCUCUGUGUGGGACACCUCUCCUCUCGAACAAGAGAACGCGAUCUUGAACACCUCUUCAGCAAAUACGGAAGGAAAGGGUGAGAUCGUUUAGAAAGGAUGAAGACCUGGAACUCAGGUUGCUAACUUGCAGGGGAUAUGGAGCAGAGACGUUCAGCUGCCAUGGGAUGGUGCUCCUCACCUGAACAUUAAUCUCCAGAUGAACUAUUGGCAUUCUCUUCCUGCUAAUAUAAGGGAAUGCCAAGAACCGUUGUUUGAUCAUAUGUCUGCUUUAGCUAUCAAUGGCCGCAAGACAGCACAAGUAAGUUUCUAUCCUUUUUGUAUUGAUGGUUACAUUGUUGACAUCAAUGUGUGAAGUUUAAUCGAAGAUGAACAAGAUAUCAGACUUUUGUUGUGAAACUGUGUUGUUCUUGCAAACAAAAGUGUCACAGAACAUAAACACAUUUGAUCAUAUUGCUAAUUUUUUUUUUAUUCCUAAGGAUUCAAAAUUAAAAAACACCAUUGGACCUUCUAUUUUCAAUAGAAUCCUUAACUAUUCUAAAAAUAAAAAAAAAUUAGUUUAAUAAUCUUAAGGACUCUAAUGGUGAUAACACCAUUGGAGAUGCUCUUAAUGUUUUAGUUAGUGACACUGACACAACACCCAUCAAAAGAGUCUUUGUUUUUCUUCUUCCCACAAACUAAAAUUCCUUAUAGGUUUUUUUUAAUUAAAGAUAGGAUCCAACACCUAAAUACUAAAAAGAACACUCCU
Raphanus sativus (radish) is the source of this 1040-nucleotide long non-coding RNA. RefSeq lists it as uncharacterized. Lineage: Eukaryota; Viridiplantae; Streptophyta; Magnoliopsida; Brassicales; Brassicaceae. The transcript is spliced from 4 exons. The record is from RefSeq and is a predicted model, not a curated record.